UCUUGAACGGGCUUGAUUAUGUUG
Molecule: non-coding RNA, 24 nt
Filed under: Arabidopsis thaliana (thale cress)
Lineage: Eukaryota; Viridiplantae; Streptophyta; Magnoliopsida; Brassicales; Brassicaceae
Source: RNAcentral